UACGAAGGUGGCAAGCGUUGUUCGGAUUUACUGGGCGUAAGGGAGCGUAGGUGGUUAGGUAAGCCCUCCGGGAAAUCUUCAGGCUUAACCUGAAAAGGUCGGGGGGGACUGCCUAGCUAGAGGGCGGGAGAGGAGCGCGGAAUUCCCGGUGUAGCGGUGAAAUGCGUAGAGAUCGGGAGGAAGGCCGGUGGCGAAGGCGGCGCUCUGGAACGUUUCUGACACUGAGGCUCGAAAGCGUGGGGAGCAAACAGG
Molecule: ribosomal RNA, 252 nt
Filed under: uncultured bacterium
Lineage: Bacteria
Description: partial 16S ribosomal RNA
Rfam family: Bacterial small subunit ribosomal RNA
Source: RNAcentral